CGUGUAGGCGGCCGGUUAAGUCAGGUGUGAAAGCCCAGGGCUCAACCCUGGAAGGGCACUUGAAACUGAUCGGCUUGAGUUCGGGAGAGGGAAGCGGAAUUCCUGGUGUAAAGGUGAAAUUCGUAGAUAUCAGGAGGAACACCGGUGGCGAAGGCGGCUUCCUGGACCGAAACUGACGCUGAGACGCGAAAGCGUGGGGAGCAAACA
This 207-nucleotide ribosomal RNA is filed under the name uncultured bacterium. Its description in RNAcentral is "partial 16S ribosomal RNA". It matches the Rfam family "Bacterial small subunit ribosomal RNA", at positions 568 to 774 of the family's 1533-position model. The record is from RNAcentral.